UUUGAUGAGGUGAUCUGAUGAACUGAUCACAGGGCUGAUGUUGGUUUGAUGAGGUGAUCUGAUGAACUGAUCACAGGGUUGAUGGUGAUCUGAUGAGGUGAUCUGAUGAACUGAUCACAGGGUUGAUGUUGGUUUGAUGAGGUGAUCUGAUGAACUGAUCACAGGGUUGAUGUUGGUUUGAUGAGGUGAUCUGAUGAACUGAUCACAGGGUUGAUGUUGGUUUGAUGAGGUGAUCUGAUGAACUGAUCACAGGGUUGAUGUUGGUUUGAUGAGGUGAUCUGAUGAACUGAUCACAGGGUUGAUGUUGGUUUGAUGAGGUGAUCUGAUGAACUGAUCACAGGGUUGAUGUUGGUUUGAUGAGGUGAUCUGAUGAACUGAUCACAGGGUUGAUGUUGGUUUGAUGAGGUGAUCUGAUGAACUGAUCACAGGGCUGAUGUUGGUUUGAUGAGGUGAUCUGAUGAACUGAUCACAGGAUUGAUGUUGGUUUGAUGAGGUGAUCUGAUGAACUGAUCACAGGGUCGAUGGUGGUUUGAUGAGGUGAUCUGAUGAACUGAUCUCAGGGUUGAUGGUGGUUUGAUGAGGUGAUCUGAUGAACUGAUCACAGGGUUGAUGUUGGUUUGAUGAGGUGAUCUGAUGAACUGAUCACAGGGUUGAUGUUGGUUUGAUGAGGUGAUCUGAUGAACUGAUCACAGGGUUGAUGUUGGUUUGAUGAGGUGAUCUGAUGAACUGAUCACAGGGUUGAUGUUGGUUUGAUGAGGUGAUCUGAUGAACUGAUCACAGGGUUGAUGUUGGUUUGAUGAGGUGAUCUGAUGAACUGAUCACAGGGUUGAUGUUGGUUUGAUGAGGUGAUCUGAUGAACUGAUCACAGGGUUGAUGUUGGUUUGAUGAGGUGAUCUGAUGAACUGAUCACAGGGUUGAUGUUGGUUUGAUGAGGUGAUCUGAUGAACUGAUCACAGGGUUGAUGUUGGUUUGAUGAGGUGAUCUGAUGAACUGAUCACAGGGUUGAUGUUGGUUUGAUGAGGUGAUCUGGUGAACUGAUCACAGGGUUGAUGUUGGUUUGAUGAGGUGAUCUGGUGAACUGAUCACAGGGUUGAUGUUGGUUUGAUGAGGUGAUCUGAUGAACUGAUCACAGGGUUGAUGUUGGUUUGAUGAGGUGAUCUGAUGAACUGAUCACAGGGUUGAUGUUGGUUUGAUGAGGUGAUCUGAUGAACUGAUCACAGGGCUGAUGUUGGUUUGAUGAGGUGAUCUGAUGAACUGAUCACAGGGUUGAUGUUGGUUUGAUGAGGUGAUCUGAUGAACUGAUCACAGGGCUGAUGUUGGUUUGAUGAGGUGAUCUGAUGAACUGAUCACAGGGUUGAUGGUGAUCUGAUGAGGUGAUCUGAUGAACUGAUCACAGGAUUGAUGUUGGUUUGAUGAGGUGAUCUGAUGAACUGAUCACAGGGUUGAUGUUGGUUUGAUGAGGUGAUCUGAUGAACUGAUCACAGGGCUGAUGUUGGUUUGAUGAGGUGAUCUGAUGAACUGAUCACAGGGUUGAUGUUGGUUUGAUGAGGUGAUCUGAUGAACUGAUCACAGGGUUGAUGUUGGUUUGAUGAGGUGAUCUGAUGAACUGAUCACAGGGCUGAUGUUGGUUUGAUGAGGUGAUCUGAUGAACUGAUCACAGGGUUGAUGGUGAUCUGAUGAGGUGAUCUGAUGAACUGAUCACAGGGUUGAUGUUGGUUUGAUGAGGUGAUCUGAUGAACUGAUCACAGGGUUGAUGUUGGUUUGAUGAGGUGAUCUGAUGAACUGAUCACAGGGUUGAUGUUGGUUUGAUGAGGUGAUCUGGUGAACUGAUCACAAGGUUGAUGUUGGUUUGAUGAGGUGAUCUGGUGAACUGAUCACAGGGUUGAUGUUGGUUUGAUGAGGUGAUCUGGUGAACUGAUCACAGGGUUGAUGUUGGUUUGAUGAGGUGAUCUGAUGAACUGAUCACAGGGUUGAUGUUGGUUUGAUGAGGUGAUCUGAUGAACUGAUCUCAGGGUUGAUGUUGGUUUGAUGAGGUGAUCUGAUGAACUGAUCUCAGGGUUGAUGUUGGUUUGAUGAGGUGAUCUGAUGAACUGAUCACAGGGUUGAUGUUGGUUUGAUGAGGUGAUCUGAUGAACUGAUCACAGGGUUGAUGUUGGUUUGAUGAGGUGAUCUGAUGAACUGAUCUCAGGGUUGAUGUUGGUUUGAUGAGGUGAUCUGAUGAACUGAUCACAGGGUUGAUGUUGGUUUGAUGAGGUGAUCUGAUGAACUGAUCACAGGGUUGAUGUUGGUUUGAUGAGGUGAUCUGGUGAACUGAUCACAGGGUUGAUGUUGGUUUGAUGAGGUGAUCUGGUGAACUGAUCACAGGGUUGAUGUUGGUUUGAUGAGGUGAUCUGAUGAACUGAUCACAGGGUUGAUGUUGGUUUGAUGAGGUGAUCUGAUGAACUGAUCACAGGGUUGAUGUUGGUUUGAUGAGGUGAUCUGAUGAACUGAUCACAGGGUUGAUGUUGGUUUGAUGAGGUGAUCUGAUGAACUGAUCUCAGGGUUGAUGUUGGUUUGAUGAGGUGAUCUGAUGAACUGAUCACAGGGUUGAUGUUGGUUUGAUGAGGUGAUCUGAUGAACUGAUCACAGGGUUGAUGUUGGUUUGAUGAGGUGAUCUGGUGAACUGAUCACAGGGUUGAUGUUGGUUUGAUGAGGUGAUCUGGUGAACUGAUCACAGGGUUGAUGUUGGUUUGAUGAGGUGAUCUGAUGAACUGAUCACAGGGUUGAUGUUGGUUUGAUGAGGUGAUCUGAUGAACUGAUCACAGGGUUGAUGUUGGUUUGAUGAGGUGAUCUGAUGAACUGACAGUCUGUCUGUUUCCUCUUCCUCCCUCAGACGGAGUCCACAAAGGAUCCCAGAGGUCGACGCAUCUGACCUCAAAAACCCCACAUCUUUCUUCUCCCGGGGUUGCAAAAUUCCCAAGACUUUCCCAGUUUUUUUUCCCAGAAAUCCCUGUUUUGGAGGAUUCCACGUCCUUAUUUGUUCCCUCCUGAUUCCACAGAAUCUUUCAACUGUGGAUUUCUGAGAAACGGACUUUUGGGAAAGUUAGUGGGAGGCCUUUUUUUGCAGGCCUUCUCUCCUCUUCACCAAAAUACACGAUGACCGACUCUUCCUCUUGUGUCCACUUUGUGUCUCUAUAUCAAGAAGUGUGAAACAUUCAGGAAAAGGGCUUGUCGCUCGAAAAGAGGCUGACGACGAGGACUCUUAGAGAACAGACUUUGUGAAGCGGCAUUAGCCGCUGAACACGAUUUGAAGAUUUGUAAAAUAGUUUAUUAUUAGACAAAUAAAAACACUGCUCCUGUA
Long non-coding RNA from Oncorhynchus keta (chum salmon), 3340 nucleotides. RefSeq lists it as uncharacterized. The record is from RefSeq and is a predicted model, not a curated record. The transcript is spliced from 5 exons. NCBI's taxonomy places the organism in Eukaryota, Metazoa, Chordata, Actinopteri, Salmoniformes, Salmonidae.